AGCGAACGCUGGCGGCAGGCCUAACACAUGCAAGUCGAACGGCUCUUCGGAGCAGUGGCGGACGGGUGAGUAACGCGUGGGAACGUGCCCUUUGGUUCGGAACAACACAGGGAAACUUGUGCUAAUACCGGAUGAGCCCUUCGGGGAAAGAUUAUCGCCAUUGGAGCGGCCCGCGUUGGAUUAGGUAGUUGGUGGGGUAAAGGCCCACCAAGCCGACGAUCCAUAGCUGGUCUGAGAGGAUGAUCAGCCACACUGGGACUGAGACACGGCCCAGACUCCUACGGGAGGCAGCAGUGGGGAAGUCUUGCGCAAUGGGCGAAAGCCUGACGCAGCCAUGCCGCGUGAAUGAUGAAGGUCUUAGGAUUGUAAAAUUCUUUCGUGGGGGGAAGAUAAUGACGGUACCCCAAGAAGAAGCCCCCGGCUAACUCCGUGCCAGCAGCCGCGGUAAU
This 449-nucleotide ribosomal RNA is filed under the name uncultured bacterium. RNAcentral's name for it is "bacterial SSU rRNA". It matches the Rfam family "Bacterial small subunit ribosomal RNA", at positions 29 to 524 of the family's 1533-position model. The record is from RNAcentral.